GAUGAACGCUGGCGGCGUGCCUAAUACAUGCAAGUCGAGCGAACAGAUGAGGAGCUUGCUCCUCUGACGUUAGCGGCGGACGGGUGAGUAACACGUGGAUAACCUACCUAUAAGACUGGGAUAACUUCGGGAAACCGGAGCUAAUACCGGAUAAUAUAUUGAACCGCAUGGUUCAAUAGUGAAAGACGGUUUUGCUGUCACUUAUAGAUGGAUCCGCGCCGCAUUAGCUAGUUGGUAAGGUAACGGCUUACCAAGGCAACGAUGCGUAGCCGACCUGAGAGGGUGAUCGGCCACACGGGAACUGAGACACGGUCCAGACUCCUACGGGAGGCAGCAGUAGGGAAUCUUCCGCAAUGGGCGAAAGCCUGACGGAGCAACGCCGCGUGAGUGAUGAAGGUCUUCGGAUCGUAAAGCUCUGUUAUUAGGGAAGAACAAAUGUGUAAGUAACUAUGCACGUCUUGACGGUACCUAAUCAGAAAGCAACGGCUAACUACGUG
RNAcentral lists this ribosomal RNA (497 nucleotides) under uncultured bacterium. RNAcentral describes it as "partial 16S ribosomal RNA". It matches the Rfam family "Bacterial small subunit ribosomal RNA", at positions 28 to 507 of the family's 1533-position model. The record is from RNAcentral.